RNAcentral lists this ribosomal RNA (458 nucleotides) under uncultured bacterium. RNAcentral's name for it is "partial 16S ribosomal RNA". It matches the Rfam family "Bacterial small subunit ribosomal RNA", at positions 29 to 507 of the family's 1533-position model. The record is from RNAcentral.
AACGAACGCUGGCGGCAUGCCUAACACAUGCAAGUCGAACGAGACCUUCGGGUCUAGUGGCGCACGGGUGCGUAACGCGUGGGAACCUGCCCUUAGGUUCGGAAUAACUCCCCGAAAGGGGUGCUAAUACCGGAUAAUGUCUUCGGACCAAAGAUUUAUCGCCUUUGGAUGGGCCCGCGUUGGAUUAGCUAGUUGGUAGGGUAAAAGCCUACCAAGGCAACGAUGCAUAGCUGGUCUGAGAGGAUGAUCAGCCACACUGGAACUGAGACACGGUCCAGACUCCGACGGGAGGAAGAAGUAGGGAAUCUGCCGAAAUGGGCGAAAGCGUGAGGGAGCAACGCCGAGUGAGUGAUGAAGGUCUUAGGAUCGGAAAACGCUGUGACUAGGGAAGAACAAAUGUGUAAGUAACCAGGCACGGCGUGACGGGACCUAAUCAGAAAGCAACGGCUAACUACGUG